Long non-coding RNA from Miniopterus natalensis, 1982 nucleotides. RefSeq lists it as uncharacterized. The record is from RefSeq and is a predicted model, not a curated record. NCBI's taxonomy places the organism in Eukaryota, Metazoa, Chordata, Mammalia, Chiroptera, Miniopteridae.
CUGCCUCUGGUAAACCUUCAUUCUCUCUAACCUUCUGUCUCUGGAUUAGCACGCUGACUAGGGGAGUCUCCUGGCUGGCCUCUGCCUCCACUCCGCACAGCCACAGGAGUGACUGCUAGACCCGCAUUAGAUCAGCGCCUCCCUGCAACACACCUCCAUGGCUCCCCACUUACUGGCAACAAAUGCCCAGCUUUUUAUGAGAGGGCAGCCUCUCCUUCCCUCUCCAUGCUCAUGCCACGUUGCUCCCUUCCUUGCUCACUGUAUUCCAGCCACACAGGCCUUCUUUUUGUUCCUCUCAAAUAGACUUUCCUCUCAGCUUGAGGGCCUUGCCCUGCUGUGUUCUCUGCCAGAAACACUCCCUUUAACUUUAGAAGGCUGCCUCCUUUCCAAGCUUUCAAUUUCAUGUUGAACAUUUGUUCCUAGGGCUCCUUCCCCUCCUUUAACUACUGUUACCUUGCUUAUUUCCUUUAGGACUUUAACAAUUUUAACUUGGUUAUUUAUUUAUUUUUUCUGCUUUCUCAACUAGGAUGGUGAGCUCCAGGAAUCUAGCAACUUAGUCUUGGUCACGGCUCUGUUCCCAGUGCUCAUCUCAGUACGCGGCACAAGAUGGAAGACAAAAUAUAAGAGCAGAAACAAUAUGUAGUGGACAGAAGAGGAUGGGAAACCUUGGAAGGCACUGAAGGUCAGUUCCUGAGACCCACUGCAGGAAUUCAGAGUCAGCACGCACAGUGGGAUGCGCUCCGCCCAGGACACUGCUGCUUCAGUUAUUCAGCUCUAUACUUCUACUAGUUUUAACAGAAGAAAUCGUUUGUUUGCUGUGUAGAUUAAUUUGAGAUAAAUAUGGCCCCACCCCAAAAAGGGAGGGAGGGAGUGGGCUGAUAGGGACCCACGGAAGGUUCUCAGUACCCUAGAGUGAAGCUCUGAGCGGAGCUUUGCGCCACUACCUUAAUCACAACCCGAAGAGACAGAACACUAGCUAAACUUUAGGAUGACACAAAGCUGGGAAAGAAACUACAAUCCUUGGAACACAGAAAUAACAUUCAGGAAGGCCUUAAAGGGUGAAUUGAUCGCUUAGGUCUAACAAGAUAAAACUGAUGUCUAGAAAGGGUUCUGUAAAGCACGUGAUACGGAGACAUGGCCAAGCAACAGUACCAAGAAAGAAACUCGAAGGGCUUUCUGUUGACACUGAGCCCAAUCUGAGUGUUGGGAUAUGGCUGCUCCCCAAAAGCUGCUGAAUGACUAAGAAACUUUUCAGUGAAGUAUUUAGGACUAGGGUACAUGACACUUCAGGUCAACUCUACAGUGGUCAGACCACAAUGACAGAGUAUUUUAUUCAGUUCUGAGGGUCAAAAUUUAAGAGAUUGGACACAGAUUCACCUAGAUAGCACCUGGGAUUAAAACCAGGUCAUAAGGAAACUGGUUGGGGACUCAGGGAUGUUUGGCAGGAAGAAGCCAUAACAGAGUGUGAGGGGCAGGGCUAUGGCCAUCCUCAAGCAUUGGAUGGGCUAUUCUGUGGAGGCAGAACUGGACCGACUCCACUUAUUACAAAGAGUAGACCUGGGCAGAAGCUGUAGGGAAGGAGCUCUGGCUGAUCACAGGAGAAAGUCACAGUCAUUCCAGGGUGGAUGCUGAGGCUCCCCUGUCACAGGGUCUGCCUUGGAGGCCAAGGGUGGUUGCAAGGAAGAUGCAGGGACUAGCUGAGGUUCCACAACUGAUGCCAUAGCCUAGUCUCUUUCUAGCAAGACGGGGGCAGCAACUGCUUCCUUCCCCUCCUCCCCCAUCUUAUUCGAGGAAGGGGAAGGUUAAUUUUUUCACUUAAUUUUUUUCACAUUUCUUGUACUUAUUUCUCUGUUGUUCCAACUUCCCUAUUACUUUUUUCUCUGAACAUUUUUUAUAUUUACAAUAAUUUCAACUACGUGUAUUAUUGUAAGAAAUGCAGCAAAGUAAUUUAUAAAAAUAAAAUGAGUUACAUUUAGUAUUAA